RNAcentral lists this ribosomal RNA (461 nucleotides) under uncultured bacterium. RNAcentral describes it as "bacterial SSU rRNA". It matches the Rfam family "Bacterial small subunit ribosomal RNA", at positions 356 to 822 of the family's 1533-position model. The record is from RNAcentral.
GGGGAAUCUUGCACAAUGGACGAAAGUCUGAUGCAGCAACGCCGCGUGGGGGAUGAAGCUUCUCGGAGUGUAAACCCCUUUCGACCCGGAAGAAUGCCCGCAAGGGUUUGACGGUACGGGUAUAAGAAGCCCCGGCUAACUACGUGCCAGCAGCCGCGGUAAUACGUAGGGGGCCAGCGUUGCUCGGAAUUACUGGGCGUAAAGGGUCCGUAGGCGGUGUGGUAGGUCGGGAGUGAAAUCUCUGGGCUUAACCCAGAGGCUGCUUCCGAAACUGCCGUGCUAGAGUGUGAGAGAGGCGAGUGGAAUUACGGGUGUAGCGGUGAAAUGCGUAGAUAUCCGUAGGAACAUCCGAGGCGAAGGCGGCUCGCUGGAUCACAACUGACGCUGAGGGACGAAAGCUAGGGGAGCAAACAGGAUUAGAUACCCUGGUAGUCCUAGCCCUAAACCAUCAGGACUUGGGG